UCAAAAUCAAUUUAUAACAGCUAAAAUAACUACAUAAUCUUCUCACAGAGCCUCCCCACCUCUAUCUAGAAAUUAGAAACUAGAAUCUAUAACUAGAAUCUAUGUGCUUAUUUGUGUCCUUAACUGAGUAAUGUGACAAGCUAUUCCACGUUAAUUCCUAAGCCAGUAUAGAAGUCCUUAAAAAUGAAAACCAACACUAAGAACAUCUUUUUAAAAAACAAGGCACAGAAAUUAAAAAUAAAUUUGAGAAAAAAGGCAAAUAAAAGUUUUCCUGUUAUUGUAUGUAAAUACAGUAAAAAAUAGCAAUGUAAAUAUGGUAUUAUUUCAGCAGGAGUAAAAGUCCCUGAUUGCUAAUUUUAUGAUUUACUGCACUAAAAUACCAAUACCUUAAAACAAUGACUUAUUUUCUCUCUCCAGUUCUCUUCGUUUAAAAUUAAUAAAGUAGUUAAUAACAGUGCCAAGCAAAACUAUAAACACAAAAUAUUAAAAAAUGAAUAAUUUCUUAGUUUUGUGAUAACAGCUAAACAUUAAUUAUGGUUUUAAACAGAAAUUUAAUCAUGACACAAUAAUCAGAACAAAGACACAUUUGUGCAUUUUAAAGACUUAAUCUUCUAGAAAAGUUGCUUGAAGAGGUCAUUCUUUUUUGUUCCUACCCAACGUCAUAAGGACAACUUAAAAUGUUUUAAAUCCAACACAACAGAAUUUUUUUUCUUAGAAAGCCAAGCUAUCAACUUAUGGAUCCUAUUUCAUUUUUAUGUAAUUUGGACCAGCUAAGUAGUGAAUCCUUAAGUAUAGAUGAUAUGUAAUGGAAACUUGCUCACAGAGAUUUGGACUGCUUCAACAAGACAAAACUAGCCAACUAUAGAACAUUAUCCCUCUCUCCAUUCAAAUCAAAACCCAAGACCUUAACAUUC
Long non-coding RNA from Perognathus longimembris pacificus (Pacific pocket mouse), 914 nucleotides. RefSeq lists it as uncharacterized. The record is from RefSeq and is a predicted model, not a curated record. The transcript is spliced from 2 exons. NCBI's taxonomy places the organism in Eukaryota, Metazoa, Chordata, Mammalia, Rodentia, Heteromyidae.